AGGGUUUAGAGGAGGCAUCGGAAUCUUUGAACUGCUAUUGCUAUUGGCUGCACAGAGAACGCUAAAACUACGCCGUUUUAGCGGAGACGAUGAUGAUGAAGUACAUGGAACUGAGGACGCCAUGGGCAACCGUAAGUGGGUGGCCUAGCAAAAUACACACAGACAAAACAAAACCAAUCAGAAAAUAAGACAGGCUCAACAACAAAGUCUUUACGAAACCUGAUUAAUUAUAUUACAGAUAAUUAACGACAAUAAAAUAGAAGAGAAGAAAAUUAUUUACCUGAGCAGGAGUAGCCAUGAGCUUAGGGGAGUCGUAAAUGUCCAAAAAAGGCGGCAUGUCCGAGUUUUGAGGCCGAGUAUAGACAGCUUCUGGAUUAUUUGCAGCAACAGAGGCAAGCUUAUUUAGAAAUGGGUCCUUAGGGUUUAGAGGAGGCAUCGGAAUCUUUGUACUACUAUUGCUAUUGGCUGCACAGAGAAUGCUAAAACUACGACGUUUUAGCGGAGACGAUGAUGAUGAAGCACAUGGAACUGAGGAUGCCAUGGGCAACCGUAAGUAGGUGGCCAUUAUUUUUCUUUUUUCGAAUUUUGAUGCUGUUUAUCUCUUCCAAGGAGAAGACAUUUGAGCUAUGGAAGAUGUACUGAUGAGGAUGUGAAAUUUGGAUAGUGUGACUCGAACAAGUCGGGUCAUAAGAGCCC
RNAcentral lists this long non-coding RNA (696 nucleotides) under Nicotiana benthamiana. RNAcentral's name for it is "long non-coding RNA (NBEN_LNC020175)". The record is from RNAcentral. Lineage: Eukaryota; Viridiplantae; Streptophyta; Magnoliopsida; Solanales; Solanaceae.